RNAcentral lists this ribosomal RNA (976 nucleotides) under Lophiotrema vagabundum. Its description in RNAcentral is "SSU rRNA". It matches the Rfam family "Eukaryotic small subunit ribosomal RNA", at positions 102 to 1086 of the family's 1831-position model. The record is from RNAcentral. Lineage: Eukaryota; Fungi; Ascomycota; Dothideomycetes; Pleosporales; Lophiotremataceae.
UAAAUCAGUUAUCGUUUAUUUGAUAGUACCUUACUACUUGGAUAACCGUGGUAAUUCUAGAGCUAAUACAUGCUAAAAACCCCAACUUCGGGAGGGGUGUAUUUAUUAGAUAAAAAACCAAUGCCCUCCGGGGCUCUUUGGUGAUUCAUGAUAACUUAACGGAUCGCAUGGCCUUGCGCCGGCGACGGUUCAUUCAAAUUUCUGCCCUAUCAACUUUCGAUGGUAAGGUAUUGGCUUACCAUGGUUUCAACGGGUAACGGGGAAUUAGGGUUCGAUUCCGGAGAGGGAGCCUGAGAAACGGCUACCACAUCCAAGGAAGGCAGCAGGCGCGCAAAUUACCCAAUCCCGACUCGGGGAGGUAGUGACAAUAAAUACUGAUACAGGGCUCUUUUGGGUCUUGUAAUCGGAAUGAGUACAAUUUAAACCCCUUAACGAGGAACAAUUGGAGGGCAAGUCUGGUGCCAGCAGCCGCGGUAAUUCCAGCUCCAAUAGCGUAUAUUAAAGUUGUUGCAGUUAAAAAGCUCGUAGUUGAACCUUGGGCCUGGCUGGCCGGUCCGCCUCACCGCGUGUACUGGUCCGGCCGGGCCUUUCCUUCUGGAGAGCCGCAUGCCCUUCACUGGGUGUGUCGGGGAACCAGGACUUUUACUUUGAAAAAAUUAGAGUGUUCAAAGCAGGCCUUUGCUCGAAUACGUUAGCAUGGAAUAAUAGAAUAGGACGUGCGGUCCUAUUUUGUUGGUUUCUAGGACCGCCGUAAUGAUUAAUAGGGAUAGUCGGGGGCAUCAGUAUUCAAUUGUCAGAGGUGAAAUUCUUGGAUUUAUUGAAGACUAACUACUGCGAAAGCAUUUGCCAAGGAUGUUUUCAUUAAUCAGUGAACGAAAGUUAGGGGAUCGAAGACGAUCAGAUACCGUCGUAGUCUUAACCGUAAACUAUGCCGACUAGGGAUCGGGCGAUGUUUCUAUCUUGACUCGCUCGGCAC